CCCGCUGCCCUCUCCUCUGCCCCGCCUCAGCCCGCCUCGCACGCUCACCACCCCGUCUCUGCCCUCCUUUUCAACUCCCGCUGCCAUCGCCCCUGCCCUCCCGCCUCCUCCUGCACUCCAACCCCUCCAGCGGCCUCGAUCCCGCGUCGCACCUCUAGCGCCGCCUUCGCACAGGCCCACCCCGCCGUCUCCCAGGCCCUCCAGCGCGCCGCAGUCUCCGUCGCAAUUCAUAUCAGAUUUACCAAGGAGGCAUACCUCUCUCUCUCUCUCUGAUGUGGUUCCUCUCCCUGCUCUUUAACCCUGGAUUCCUAGAACAACAACAAGUUAUCAGGCCUAAUCGUUUCUCUUCUGCAUGUUAAUUAGAGUUCAGAAUAACAAGUUGCAGCAAUCAAGUCACUAAAAGGUAACACGAAUGGAUGAAUUUUGUGUGUCUAGAUUUACUCGAAGUGUUACUAUGUGAUCUGAAUUUUUGAAUCUUAAAUUUCUGGUCUAGCACUCAUGCAGUGUACUAAUGUGUGAGAUAUAUAUGCAUAAUUACUGGUCUUGAAACUGAGACUUAAAUGUCUUGUCAAAUUAGAUCCAGGGAACAUGAUUGAAACAUGAUCCUGAACGUAUUAUCUUUUACAGGUAUGUCUGCCAAAUUAUGGUAUUUAUAUUGUCUCUUAUAUGCUCUUAGACGAGGCCCCUUGACUGAUUGUUAUUGCACCUAGAGAUGGAGUUGGCGAAAACAAAUUCAGCCAUGUCAUUCAAAUCUCAUGUGCAGUUGUUGUUUUUCAUCCCCCUCCAUUUUGAUCAGUUACAAAUGCACAGGAUGACAGCACUUACUUUCUUUAUGCUGACUACCAACAAGGUGUUUUAUAAAUCUCAUGAUGAUACUCAUGUGAAUAAAAAGGUAUAUCUCUGAACCGAUCAAUCAUUUUGACUUCAAACCAUUGAUUUCUCCGACAAUAUAGUAAUGGAAAGCAAUUCAUAUCAGAUUUACCAAGGAGGCAUAUACCUUUCUCUUUCUUAAGUUAGUUGGAAUCUGUUUAAUCUUAUUCUCGAGGUAGACCACGAUAAUUUUGUUUCAUGGCAUAUUACAGGGUAGAACAAACUGGAUACAAAAAAUUGUUAAUACAUAGAAAGAGCUAAUAGUUCUUUUGUGAGUAGUAAUUCAAUUAGCUUGGAUGUACCCUUCUGUAAUUUUGUGUUAAUUUUGUUAUGUAUAUGCCACAAUCUCUUAAUUGAGUGUCAAUAAAGUGGGUUGCAGGGGAGUCAUCUUCAGAAAAUUAAUCUUAGAAUGAUAUAAGUCAAUCUUAGAAUGAUAUAAGUAGAGUAUUUUUACUCUUCAGCUUACAGUUCUAUUUAUACAAACAACAAUAGAGUUAGAGACCCGGUCAAAAAAAAACAAUAGAGUUAGAGUGACUUCUGUUAUACUAAUACAGUAAUGCUUUUUUGUCCGCCAGAUAUAUGGCUGAGUUGCUUGCCGCGAGGCAAAAAAAUGCCCCGUUCCUUCAAGUUCUUCCCUUCUAUACCAGGCCUUAAACCAAGCACCAGGAUGAAUAUUUCUACACACAGGGAUAUCGGCUUGAAGCCUGGCUUGUUAGAUAAUGGUCUCCCCUGAAUUUUUAGCUGGGUCAAUUUAUGGUAAUCAUAUAUGAUUUUCUGCACUUCAUAGAUUUCUUUUUACGAUAUCACAUAUUAAACAUGCAAGAAUUUUUGUUCUUUUUUACUGUGGCAAGAUGACAAGAUUCCUAUCUGAGUAAUUUUACUCCGAAUUUGUACUAAUGAGACUUUCACCUUAGCCAAAGUUGUUCUCCACCAUGCAUCUAUAGGAAACUUCUGCGUUCAUGCAAGGAGCAUACAUAAGUGCAACCUUUCUGUUCAUCCAGUAAUGCAUUCAGGACUAAUCUUGGCUAAUAGAUUGAUUGAAUCAUUCUUGUCAGGCCAUUACUGGCAACAAGCACGCUAAGUAUUGUUUGCACUUUUCUUGAUCAAAAAUGAAAUGAUGAUUUGCAGGUCCUGGGUUGUCUGAUGCUUGUCGAUUUUCUGAAUGGACAGCUUAUUGACGUAGUAACAAUAAUCAUUAAAUUUAUUUCCUAGGUAUUUGCCAUCUGCGUAAUUUUGAAUUGAGUGUUUAUCUAGGCCUGAUGAUGUCUAUUUUCAGUUGCAAACAUGCCAAGAAAUUAUUCUUCGUUUUUAUAGCAUGCUUAGGAUGUUUUAUCUAGAUUCUGAAGGGAUUUCUUGAGCAAUCAGUUUUGCAUACAUCGUGGAGUUUAAAGCCAUGGAUACAACUAAAGACUAAAGUGUAGAAAUACAUGAGUUUUUACUUUUUACAGUCAUAGCUUUCUGUUUCUAUUUCAGUGGACUGCUAUCGAGUAAACAUGUUUUUUCUUAGGCUGUUAUUGUUGCUCUUUGGUUGGCCAGUGCUGGAAAAGAAUCUACGCCCUGGCAGCACUACAAAAUUAGAAGCUUUGGUAGGGCGGUACUUCCCUUUCGUACAUGUUUUCUCUUGGAUAUAUCCUGAUGUUGUGUACGAUCAUGGAUAAUGCCUUGUAUUUUGAUGUAAUAUGAGAGAUUUCAAGCUUGAAUGUAUAUGUUCCAACACCUGUAGCUUCAGAGGACUUGAAGAAAGCAUAUGAGAAUGAAGUACAGGAGAAGCCACUCUGUUAAAGCAGCAAGAAGUGCCCAUUGACUAAAAUUUGAUCAGCCUUCACAGGGGAUAUUUGAGCAAUACGGUUAGCAUCAUUUGUAAACAUAACAUUUGAGUGAGAUGAGCAGCAAUAGCAAGGCAAGUAAUAAUGUUGGGGUAUCUUUUCUUUGUUUAAUUGAUUCAUUUGACUUUUGUGCGACCAAUUGAUUUAAUGGUUUAGGCUAAUAUGACUUAAGUUUUAUGUAAA
Long non-coding RNA from Brachypodium distachyon (stiff brome), 2879 nucleotides. RefSeq lists it as uncharacterized. The record is from RefSeq and is a predicted model, not a curated record. Lineage: Eukaryota; Viridiplantae; Streptophyta; Magnoliopsida; Poales; Poaceae. The transcript has 2 exons.